RNAcentral lists this long non-coding RNA (427 nucleotides) under Homo sapiens (human). RNAcentral describes it as "non-protein coding lnc-SMYD1-4:1". Lineage: Eukaryota; Metazoa; Chordata; Mammalia; Primates; Hominidae. The record is from RNAcentral.
AUGGCUCGGGCCAGCAGCGGGAACGGCAGCGAGGAGGCCUGGGGGGCACUUCGGGCGCCGCAACAGCAGCUUCGAGAGCUGUGCCCAGGAGUGAACAACCAGCCCUACCUCUGUGAGAGUGGUCACUGCUGCAGGGAGACUGGCUGCUGCACCUACUACUAUGAGCUCUGGUGGUUCUGGCUGCUCUGGACUGUCCUCAUCCUCUUUAGCUGCUGUUGGGCCUUCCGCCACCGACGAGCUAAACUCAGGCUGCAACAACAGCAGCGGCAGCGUGAAAUCAACUUGUUGGCCUAUCAUGGGGCAUGCCAUGGGGCUGGUCCUUUCCCUACCGGUUCACUGCUUGACCUUCGCCUCCUCAGCACCUUCAAGCCCCCAGCCUACGAGGAUGUGGUUCACCGCCCAGGCACCACCCCCCGCCCCCCGCCUC